GCUCAGUAAACAUUUGUUGACUGGGUGAAGGUGAGGAGAGGCCUGAACUGGGAAGUCUGACCCUCUGUUACUGAGGAGACUUGAGGUCUGGGGCUAACACCGCCGCCUCCAACUCCCCUGGCCCCAUUACACUCCAAUAUGGAUCAGAACUGUCCCAGAGUUUCAGGACCUGCCACAAGAUGUUUUCCUGCUCUGGGAGAUCUGACGGCUUGUUGUUCACUCAUCUAUUUCUAGGCUGGGGCUGGAGACCCCUCAUUCCUGAGGUGGGCACAUUCUCUGGAAGCUGUAGAGGCAGCAAGGCGGGCUGAAGCCGGCCCUGUUGUGGGUCUCCUCUCCCAGGCCCCUCCCUCCCAAGGCCUAACCUAGUCCUUCAGGUGAGAGAAACAACUUCGAGGCCUGCCCACGUUCCCCUCCUGGACAGAAGAGAGAUCCCAGGGGACAUUAUGGUGCAUGAAAGCAAAAUCAUUUGUCUUUAGCACAUUUGUCACUCUGGACAUUUCCUACAGUUAUUGCCUCCAAAAAAAAGUCUCUCCAACUUGCUUGGAGGUUUUCUGGGUUGGGGGAACUUCCAUUUCCAUGGAGAAUGGUUGUUUGAGAUUUUAUUUUUCUACAUCAACAUCUGAAUACCACUUUAGGAAAGCAGAGGGGUGGGGGAGCAUUCUUAAUAGAAGAGGCUUUGAAAAGCUGAAGCAGUUCAUGUUAUUUGACAUCAAGAGCAGAAUCAAAAAACACUGAGCUAGAGAUAGCUUGCACCUUCCUCUGUCCUCUACUUGUGGCCCUCAUCAUUUGGAGAACUAGAGGGUUUGGAGAACACAGAGGAGAGACAGGUGUCAUUUGUUCACUGAUAACUUCACUCAACCUUUCUUGUGCACCUACUAUGUGCCAGAUACUCUAUCAAAUGCUGGAGAUCAAUGGAUGGCUAAGAUUGAGCCCCUGGACAUAAAGACUUUACAGUACAGUGAGGGAGCCAGUGUGGUGACAUGGGCUACAAGAGGGAGAGGCAAGGACAGUAGCCCCUGUGCUAGCUAGCACUGUAGCAGCCAAGAGGGAGGAGCCUCUGUCCCUGCCUUGUAUAUCAGUGAGGCUUCACGGAAGAAGUUCUACCCAAAUGAGCUCAGAAAUAUAAGAGAAAAUGUGCCAACUGGAGAAAAGAGAGAAUUUGGUGUGGGGACUCCUUGGGGUGGCAGGGCUGAGCAGGGGUGGGCAGGUUGCCUUCUUCCUAAAGAAAAAGAUAAAAAAGUGCAAGCUCUACCCUGGGUCACUGCCCAGACAGCAGGUUUACUACCUGGGGGAUCUGGAGUGAGGUAUGGAAGGGGAUUGAAAGAGCCCACGCUGCCUAGGAGGAAAAAAAAAAUCUAGCCAAACUUCAUCAGCACCUCUGCAAGGUGGACCUACACAGGCCCCGUGCAGAUCCACGGCCUAUGUGCAUUAAUUCUCCAUGCCUACGCAUCAGCAUUGCGGUAGGCCUUUAUGUAUGUUACCUCCAAGUCUGAACAACAUCUCAAUGAGCAAUGGACUGUUAUCUCCAAUCUACAGAUGAGAAAUUAGAGGCCCAGAGAAGUACAUUAAAUUGCCCAGAACACACUACUACUAAGUGGAUGAAUCAGAUAAUUUAUUCAUUCAGUAAACAAACUAGAUUAUGCCUCAAGCUAUGUAGAGAAGAAAAAGAAAACGUUGAGUUGGUUCUAGUUGACAAGAAAUUCACAGUCUAGGAGAGGAAAACAGCAAUUAUACAGCAAUAUGGUCUUCUUGUGGUGUCACUUGGAGAGGACCUGUGGACACUUCUGGAGUCUGUCAGGAAAUAUCUUACCCUACAACCCAGGCCUACUGCAAAGAGGUGGAUUUUCUGUCCUGCUGUGACAAAUUCUAUAGGAAGGAUAACCGUGACCAAAUAAGUUAAGUGACCUUUGUUAGAAGUUCUUUCUGUAAUGAACACAACAUUGUAAUUCAACUAUACUUCAAUAAAAAAUAAACUAGGGCUUCCCUGGUGGCGCAGUUGUUGAGAGUCCACCUGCUGAUGCAGGGGACGCGGAUUCGUGCCCCAGUCCGGGAGGAUCCCACGUGCCGUGGAGUGGCUGGGCCCGUGAGCCAUGGCCGCUGAGCCUGCGCGUCCAGAGCCUGUGCUCCGCAACGGGAGAGGUCACAACACUGACAGGCCCGCGUACCACACACAAAAAAAAUAAUAACUAAUUUAAAAAAAAGAAGUGCUUUCUGAUAUGGGGCCUGGAAUCAUAGCACUAGGAGCUGGAAAUAACCUUUGUCCUUUUAUAGGUCAGAAAACUGAGUUGAGGAUAAGAGGGAAGUGACUUGCCAAAGGUAAGAGUCAAAUUUGACGUAGAACCAGGAUAAAAUCCAGUCUCUUGACUCUAAACCUGGUGCUGUCCCCCAUGCUGGUGUUCUCUCCAUUGCCACAAAGCCUAAACUACUGUUUAAUUAUCUUUUAAAUGAGCAUUGCUCUUUACCUUUUCUUUGCUAAAAUAUAACCACUUGAAGAACCAUAUUUUAUUUGUAGGUUUAGUGCCCACCACAUUGCCUAAUACGGUAAUAAUGUCCCUAGAAUAUUUCUACCCUUGAAUGUGUAUACAGAGGCCCCAUUGGGAGCUGAGAGUUGGUGGCUCAUUUUGAUUUAAAUGGGACCUCACGUUUAACAGGUCUUCCUGUCUAUUAUCUUGCCUGGUCCCUGUUCAAAUCCAGCUCUAUUUUCUGGGUUAUUUUUGCAUUCAUAAUCCUUGACAAGAAAAUCCUCCCAUCUAAUCUUUGCUUUAUUUCUUUGUUUCAGGAGAUUAUCUAGCAUGUCUAAUAGAGCGGCAAGUCACGUCCCGCGGCUCCAGGCCUACAAUUCCCCAGCAUACCAAAAUCAACCACAAGACUUUCCUCCGACCUCACCCAAGUCAGGGCAUAGGUGGGGCUGCUCUCUGCCCCUUGGGGAGGAGGAAUCUAUGACCAAAUGGGUAUGUUCUUUCUUGAUUUCUCCAGGGUUCCCCGGAGAGGUGGUAUUCCUGGAUGAUGGGGUACAGGGAGUCUGAGUUUAACUUUCAAUGAAACAAUGCAAACUCAGACCUAGGGAAGAAUUAUCCACCUGAGAGUUGCUGGAAUAUUGGUGAAAUAUCACUUCUUGCUAUUUAAUUCAUUCAUCUGGGAUUGAAAAGACAUCUCUUGGGGCUGAUUUAGGUCAGUGGUGUCCAACCUAUUUUAGUAUGGAGAGCGCAUUUUAAUUUCAAAAAAUUUAUAGACCUGCAGAUAAAGAUACUUACACUUUAGGAAUGCACUGGGAGAGCAAAUAUUAAUAAUAGAGGCUAUCACCUUAAAUGGGAUUUGAAUUAAUCACCACCUUAUCUAUAUACUAUCCCAAAUCUGAGUUGUUGCUUUCCUUCUGUGUUUCUGUAACUCUUUGUCCUCACCACUGGCCUGGAAACCCCACAAGGCCAUAGUUGAUUUGCCUAGUUCACUAUCUGUUGUAUACUCGGCGCCUAGCACAGUUCCUGGUACAAAGUAGGCACCUUAUGUAUAUUUGUAGAAUGAAUAAAUUAGUACAUUAGAAGUAUCAGAAUAGUUGACUAAACAGUAUGAUUCAUGUACAACUAUAGGUACUGAUUCACACAAAGAUGGUGCCCCUGUGGGGUCCCAGGGCCCACAGAUUGGAAAUCACGGGUUUAAAUUUCCACACUUGGAUCCAAUAUUUUCUUCCAUUUUCCCCCGAGGGAGCUUAGUGUUCAGCAGACCACAAAUACCAGUCUCUGAGCUUAGAGACACAUGAUAACUAAAGGUGGGAGCCUGCACCAGUUGACAUUCCAAAGGCCGAAUGGAAAGUCUAGGAAGAGGACAGAAUGCAUGACUUAAAGAAGGCUGGGACUUCCUAACACCCACGGCAAAGGGGAGGUUGAUGACAGCUUUCCUCAAAAGCCAGUUUCUAACAUUUGUAGGAGCAAAAAGUAAGCUAAUCUCCGGGAGCCUCUAGGCUGUGUAGUUGGUAUUUCAACCCCAAACAGACUUGAAAAGGUACUUUGCCUGUUUCCUCUGUCACCCUAUUUGUGUGGAAUGUUGAUAACUGAAGCGACACACAGUAAAUGUGUCUUGUAAGACAUUGAUUGGGAGUGGAGAUGAGUGGGGAAAUAUAAGAAUUGAAAGAAAGAAUGCUUGAUUUAAAAUAUGUGAAUGUGUCCCUGCCUCACUGAGUGUGUACAUUAGUAUUUAAUUGCUGACAUCUCUCUUCCUUCUCUAGACAAUGGGCUUCUUCUCUUGAUUCUCCCUGCUCCUUCCUCUCCAAACAAAGAGAGGAUGGUAUUCCAGGUGUGAACAAAUCAGGGCGGUUUCCUGCUUCAGAUUCAGAGAUUCACAGCCCUGAGGAAAUGAGUAAAAGAGAGGAGGGGAGAGAGCAAAAGAGAUGAAAAGCAGAAUCUUUGCCACCUGCUAUUUAGUGAUUAGCUCCCAGAUAAGGAAGGCAGAGAUGCAUUCCAGGAGCUCAGGACUUGCCCAGACGGAACUCAGAGUAAAGGAGGGCUUGGUGAAAACUGAAGCCAGAAAAAGGCAGUGGGGGGGGGGUGGGGGGUGGGGGGUGGGGGAGGGGCACUGAAAACACCAUCCAUUAAUUUUCCUCAAAGCCCCUCCAUGUCAUGCAGCUCUUAUAAAUUUAAGACCCUCACUUUACCCAUUUUUUUGUUCCACCCCAACUCACCUGCUUUGGUUUAUGUAAAGUAGUCUUGUAAAGUUCUGUCACGAACUAACGGUGUGACCCUGGGCAAAUCACUUACCUUCUUAGAUACAGGUCUAGUGGUUGCUGUCUCUCUCUUUUUUUUCUUAAUUGGGGUAUAGUUGUUUUACAAUGUUGUGUUAGUUUCUACUGUACAGCGAAGUAGAGUUCCCUGUGCUAUACAGCAGUUUCUCAUUAGUUAUCUAUUUUAUACAUAUUAUUGUAUAUAUGUUAAUUCCAGUCUCCCAAUUCAUCCCUCUUGAGUUUCAGUAGCUUCAUCCAAAGCAUAGGAAAAGAAAUCAACAAUCACAACCAAACAACCAAACCCCAAAUCUCCUAAUGCUGGGCAGUAGAAGCCCUGGCGAGUUUGCAGUGAGCAGCCUCUGUUCUUGUUCUUAGUUUCAAGCACACCAAGCUUUUGGAUUAAACCACAGUGAAAAGCAAGCACUUACUCAUUCCCUUACGGAGGAGCAGGCUGAUCCACUAUGAGGUUUUCCUUUCUCAGUAGAAAGGGGUGAAAAUAAUUUCUGCACAGCCUACCCUUCUGCCUGUGGCACCUGUGGCCACAGACACGACCCAGGUCUGAGCAGAGGUGCAGGAUGCUGUGUACUUGUCUGGGGUGCAUGGCCUCUUCCCUCACCAGCCUUUGCUGUUCCCUUUGUUCUUAUAACUGAGGGUGUUCUGUCCUUGACAACGGCCACGUGUUCAAUUUUUCCAGCACGGUUAGGUGAGGUCAGCACUUUGGCUUUUAGCCUCUAGAGCAGGUAAGAGCCAUUGAACCUUGAGAGAUACAAGAUCAAGUUAGUAAUUCAUCUUGAUUUUCAUUUUGCAGUGCUCCCAUAGAAAAUAAAUGUGGAGCCAUGGACAAUUAUGCUUUGGUAGAAAAUAAAUACUCUGGUGAUUAAAAACUGGAAAUCACUAGCUUUGAAAUUUCUUCAGAAAUGCAGCCCCAGAUGUCACGCAAGCUCCCAUCAAACACGGGCUGUUAAAAUCCAACUGUGGAUAUUGCCUUGUAAAGUGUUCACAGAUGCAACAGCAGAAGAAAUUCUCACAGCCUAGAGAAGCGAGACUUCUGCUUUUUUCCUUUCUUUCUGUCUUUUUUUCCGGCAGGGGAUGAUGGAGGGGUUGGGCAUCAAACUGUUCAUUUCAAUAUGUAAUUUGCCUCAAAGAAUUUUUGACUUAAUUUAUUUUCUCACCAACCUAAAUCCAAUUCAAAAAACAUUUAUUGAAACCUGAACAAUCUACUUUCCGUUGACGAGUGCUAAUAGGUGCAAUGUUACCCCUGUCAACUUAUAAGAUCACAUACUGAGCUUGGAGCUAAACAGGAAAACGGAAAUUAAACUGGAGUUGGAUUUUGUUUCCUUCUAAAUUCUCUACCAUAGUUGGACAUGUACGGUGCUUAAUGAGAAACAAGUUGCAUUGUGGGCAUUUCUUUAUUUAAAAAAAAGCUUCUUUCUUUUUAAUUUGGAAGAUGUUUACAUCUUAAUGCCAGAUGUAUCUCCAAGGCAGAGGGGGUAGAACUGUAUGAAAAAAAUAAAUGAUGUCAAAAAGUC
Orcinus orca (killer whale) is the source of this 6243-nucleotide long non-coding RNA. RefSeq lists it as uncharacterized. The transcript has 3 exons. NCBI's taxonomy places the organism in Eukaryota, Metazoa, Chordata, Mammalia, Artiodactyla, Delphinidae. The record is from RefSeq and is a predicted model, not a curated record.